UACGUAGGGUGCGAGCGUUGUCCGGAAUUACUGGGCGUAAAGAGCUUGUAGGUGGUUUGUCGCGUUGUUCGUGAAAUCUCACGGCUCAACUGUGAGCGUGCGGGCGAUACGGGCAGACUAGAGUACUGCAGGGGAGACUGGAAUUCCUGGUGUAGCGGUGGAAUGCGCAGAUAUCAGGAGGAACACCGGUGGCGAAGGCGGGUCUCUGGGCAGUAACUGACGCUGAGAAGCGAAAGCAUGGGGAGCGAACAGG
This 253-nucleotide ribosomal RNA is filed under the name uncultured bacterium. RNAcentral describes it as "partial 16S ribosomal RNA". It matches the Rfam family "Bacterial small subunit ribosomal RNA", at positions 524 to 776 of the family's 1533-position model. The record is from RNAcentral.